UUCCGGGGGUGGGCGUUCGCCCCCGUGUUCUUUGAGCGUCCCGCUCCGGCGGGGCAUCAGUGCACGUCGGGAGGAAAGUCCGGACACCACAGGGCACGACUCCCUGCGAAAGCAGGGGCACCUCGUGCGAUAUCGCGAGGUGACGGCCAGUGUCUCAGAAAACAGACCGCCGGUUCCCGGGCGCGGGCCGCAAGGCGCGUGUCAGGCGGGAGCCGGUAAGGGUGAAAAGGUGGGGUAAGAGCCCACCGCGCCGGGCGCGAGUCCGGCGGCAGGAUAAACCCAGUCGGGUGCAAGGCAAAAUAGGGGACGGAGUGGCCCGCUCGAUCGUCCCGGGUAUGUCGCACGCGGCGCAAGCCGCGGACCCCGCUCCAGGCGGGGUCAGAGAAAUGAACGCCGCUCGGAGGCCGGUUCCCGGUCUCCGGGUACAGAAUCCGGCUUACAGCCCCCGGAAUCAG
This 455-nucleotide RNase P RNA is filed under the name Verrucomicrobiota bacterium. RNAcentral's name for it is "Verrucomicrobia bacterium RNase P RNA component class A". It matches the Rfam family "Bacterial RNase P class A". Rfam says of the family: Ribonuclease P (RNase P) is a ubiquitous endoribonuclease, found in archaea, bacteria and eukarya as well as chloroplasts and mitochondria. Its best characterised activity is the generation of mature 5'-ends of tRNAs by cleaving the 5'-leader elements of precursor-tRNAs. Cellular RNase Ps are ribonucleoproteins. The record is from RNAcentral. Lineage: Bacteria; Pseudomonadati; Verrucomicrobiota.